Molecule: ribosomal RNA, 243 nt
Filed under: Acinetobacter baumannii
Lineage: Bacteria; Pseudomonadati; Pseudomonadota; Gammaproteobacteria; Moraxellales; Moraxellaceae
Description: partial 23S ribosomal RNA
Rfam family: Bacterial large subunit ribosomal RNA
Source: RNAcentral
GAUAAAAGGUACCUCGGGGAUAACAGGCUGAUCUUGCCCAAGAGUCCAUAUCGACGGCAUGGUUUGGCACCUCGAUGUCGGCUCGUCGCAUCCUGGGGCUGGAGUAGGUCCCAAGGGUUGGGCUGUUCGCCCAUUAAAGCGGUACGCGAGCUGGGUUUAGAACGUCGUGAGACAGUUCGGUCCCUAUCCUCUGCGCGCGUUGGAAAUUUGAGAAGGUCUGUCCUUAGUACGAGAGGACCGGGA